Molecule: long non-coding RNA, 1962 nt
Organism: Heterocephalus glaber (naked mole-rat)
Lineage: Eukaryota; Metazoa; Chordata; Mammalia; Rodentia; Bathyergidae
Source: Ensembl
CAGAAACUGAGUAGAACGUGUGGCGCCAGUAAUUUAGACAAGUGAGGUCACAAAGUCUGAGUCACAAGGCCAGGGUUCCAAGCCAGGUCAGCCUGACCAGCCCUGUGCCUGACACAUGGGUUCAUGAAACAAAUGACAACUAGAGGAUUAAGCACAGCAGCAGGAGUGACUUAGAGGGCUGCAUUCAGAACAAACCAGGAACACUACUCUGACUCGAGGUGACAUUAACAGAGCCAGCACGUCUGGAUUGGGGAGGGGGGCUGUCAUCCUUGGGGCUCACCCCAAGCCUCUGCUGGAGCCCCACAUGUAGUCUUGGGGCAGCACCUUAGGCGCCAUCCAGCAACCUUGAGCACCGCUACAGAAGAGGACCAGAAGUGAGGGCAAGGGGCAAGAACCGAGCUCCCCGUGAGGAACAGCUCCAGGCAGCAGGCAGAGAGGUCACUGCUGCAGGAGAGGCAGCUGCACUCGCCUGGAAGAGCAGCUCAAGCCCGGGGCAAGAGAGGAAGGAAGAAACCGCUUCCUUCCAGUGUGGGGCAGGGUGGAGGGCUUGCAGUCAUCAACGUGGCUAUAUCUCAAGGCUUUCUAGAAAGAGCAAAUGUGUCGUCCAAGAACCAGAGCAGGGCUCUGGAGGGAGGCCUGAUGCCACAGCUAGAACCUGCAGGAAUAUCUGGGAUGGAUGAAGGGCACAGCCAAAGGCCUGCUCACUUUAGGACUAAGGAUUAUGAAGAUUCUAAAAGAGCUGGAGGAGAAAAGAUGCCAUGUGUAAAGUGUGAAGACGCGGAGAGACUCAUCCUGGGCUCCAGCCAGCCCAGGGCACGGAGGGCCACCUGCCCCUCUGCAGGACAGGGAGGACCCAAGAGACCACACAGCUGGCUGAAGGCCCACAGCAGGGUCUGAGGACAGCCACAUGCUGCCUCACUGAACAAAGCAGCAGACUUCUCGGGUCAGGAAAAUGCAGUCUCUGGGGUUUUCUCCGGAUUCCCCAAUCAGUCUGUGAGACCCAACCAAGGCAAGUGCUUGGCUAGAUGGAAACAAAAUUCAAAGGAAACAGAAUAAUGGCAACUCCUUCCCAGGCCAAGACUCUCCACCCCAUCCUGGAGGAGACAAAGCUGCAUUCAGUAAUCAACCAAGUUUGGAUCUGCAACUGAGGAACCUGCUCGGGAAGAGGGUUCGAUCACAUCCCACACAGCCAGGCGUGAGGGUGGUCAGGCAGCAACAGCACUGGCGGCCCAGGAGAGGGUUGCACACUCUGCCAGACAAGACAGGACCCAGGGAGGAGCAGCCAUCUGAAGUGAGAAGGACCAGUUAGGAUGACACCACCUCUGACACAAUUCAAUACCUAUUCAUAAUAAUAAUUCAGUAAGGAAUGCAGGGAGCUGCUGUAACCAUCUACAGCUGACAUCAGUGAAAGACAACACCUUCCCAUGGGAUCAGAGGCAGGACCAGGAAGCUGGCUCUGACCACUUCUUUCUGAACACAGCAUCGAAAGAUCUGGAAAAGGGAGACAGGAAGGAAAGAGGAAACACAACUAACCUGUUUGCAGCCAGCAUGGUUACCGACAAAGAAAAUCUCAAGAAUUCUAACCAACAACUCACAAGAUAAAAGAUUAACGCAGAAAAAUCAACUGCAUUACCAUGUACUGCCACUGAGCAUGUGGAAACUGAAAAGCACAUUAUCAUUUACAAUAUUCCCUCGAAGAUUAAAGGUAUAAAUCCAGCAAAACAUCUGAGACAUGUCUGAGACAUCUGUAUAGGAUCUGAUAAAUGGCUAAAAUUAAAACUAGCGACACCACCAAAUGCUGGCAAGGAUGCAGAGCAAACAGCACUCGUAGCCGGUGCCAGAAAUGCAGACUGGUACACCCACUCUGGAAAGUGGUCUGGAAGUUCUUUAAAACUGAAAAUGGGCUUUCUGAAACAGCCCGGCAAAUACACUGUGGCACACAUACCCCAGAGAAAUGCAAAC